AACAUGUGUAUUGUGGGUCAAGGCAGAGCUGGUGUCUACUGAUCAUGAUACAAUGAGUGACAGGGAGGGGGCAGCUGAUUACAGCCUGACAUCAUGCUGU
Nanorana parkeri is the source of this 100-nucleotide long non-coding RNA. RefSeq lists it as uncharacterized. The transcript has 3 exons. The record is from RefSeq and is a predicted model, not a curated record. NCBI's taxonomy places the organism in Eukaryota, Metazoa, Chordata, Amphibia, Anura, Dicroglossidae.